UAAGGAAUAUUGGUCAAUGGACGAAAGUCUGAACCAGCCAUGCCGCGUGGAGGAUGAAGGUCCUCUGGAUUGUAAACUUCUUUUAUCUGGGACGAAAAAAGGGUUUUCUAACUCACUUGACGGUACCAGAUGAAUAAGCACCGGCUAACUCCGUGCCAGCAGCCGCGGUAAUACGGAGGGUGCAAGCGUUAUCCGGAUUCACUGGGUUUAAAGGGUGCGUAGGCGGGCAUGUAAGUCAGUGGUGAAAUCUCCGGGCUUAACUCGGAAACUGCCAUUGAUACUAUAUGUCUUGAAUUAUCUGGAGGUUAGCGGAAUAUGUCAUGUAGCGGUGAAAUGCUUAGAUAUGACAUAGAACACCCAUUGCGAAGGCAGCUAACUACGGGUAUAUUGACGCUGAGGCACGAAAGCGUGGGGAUCAAAC
This 421-nucleotide ribosomal RNA is filed under the name uncultured bacterium. Its description in RNAcentral is "bacterial SSU rRNA". It matches the Rfam family "Bacterial small subunit ribosomal RNA", at positions 355 to 773 of the family's 1533-position model. The record is from RNAcentral.